Molecule: ribosomal RNA, 497 nt
Filed under: uncultured bacterium
Lineage: Bacteria
Description: partial 16S ribosomal RNA
Rfam family: Bacterial small subunit ribosomal RNA
Source: RNAcentral
GAUGAACGCUGGCGGCGUGCCUAAUACAUGCAAGUCGAGCGAACAGACGAGGAGCUUGCUCCUCUGACGUUAGCGGCGGACGGGUGAGUAACACGUGGAUAACCUACCUAUAAGACUGGGAUAACUUCGGGAAACCGGAGCUAAUACCGGAUAAUAUAUUGAACCGCAUGGUUCAAUAGUGAAAGACGGUUUUGCUGUCACUUAUAGAUGGAUCCGCGCCGCAUUAGCUAGUUGGUAAGGUAACGGCUUACCAAGGCAACGAUGCGUAGCCGACCUGAGAGGGUGAUCGGCCACACUGGAACUGGGACACGGUCCAGACUCCUACGGGAGGCAGCAGUAGGGAAUCUUCCGCAAUGGGCGAAAGCCUGACGGAGCAACGCCGCGUGAGUGAUGAAGGUCUUCGGAUCGUAAAACUCUGUUAUUAGGGAAGAACAAAUGCGUAAGUAACUAUGCACGUCUUGACGGUACCUAAUCAGAAGGCCACGGCUAACUACGUG